RNAcentral lists this ribosomal RNA (637 nucleotides) under uncultured bacterium. RNAcentral describes it as "bacterial SSU rRNA". It matches the Rfam family "Bacterial small subunit ribosomal RNA", at positions 607 to 1244 of the family's 1533-position model. The record is from RNAcentral.
GCUCAACCGAAGAAGUGCAUCGGAAACUGGGAAGCUUGAGUGCAGAAGAGGACAGUGGAACUCCAUGUGUAGCGGUGAAAUGCGUAGAUAUAUGGAAGAACACCAGUGGCGAAGGCGGCUGUCUGGUCUGUAACUGACGCUGAGGCUCGAAAGUAUGGGUAGCAAACAGGAUUAGAUACCCUGGUAGUCCAUACCGUAAACGAUGAAUGCUAAGUGUUGGAGGGUUUCCGCCCUUCAGUGCUGCAGCUAACGCAUUAAGCAUUCCGCCUGGGGAGUACGGCCGCAAGGCUGAAACUCAAAGGAAUUGACGGGGGCCCGCACAAGCGGUGGAGCAUGUGGUUUAAUUCGAAGCUACGCGAAGAACCUUACCAGGUCUUGACAUACUAUGCAAAUCUAAGAGAUUAGACGUUCCCUUCGGGGACAUGGAUACAGGUGGUGCAUGGUUGUCGUCAGCUCGUGUCGUGAGAUGUUGGGUUAAGUCCCGCAACGAGCGCAACCCUUAUUAUCAGUUGCCAGCAUUAAGUUGGGCACUCUGGUGAGACUGCCGGUGACAAACCGGAGGAAGGUGGGGAUGACGUCAAAUCAUCAUGCCCCUUAUGACCUGGGCUACACACGUGCUACAAUGGAUGGUACAACG